Molecule: ribosomal RNA, 423 nt
Filed under: Verrucomicrobiota bacterium
Lineage: Bacteria; Pseudomonadati; Verrucomicrobiota
Description: Verrucomicrobia bacterium partial 16S ribosomal RNA
Rfam family: Bacterial small subunit ribosomal RNA
Source: RNAcentral
UGAGGAAUAUUGGUCAAUGGACGCAAGUCUGAACCAGCCACGUAGCGUGCAGGAUGACGGCCCUAUGGGUUGUAAACUGCUUUUAUAUGGGGAUAAAGUGGGGAACGUGUUCCCUUUUGCAGGUACCAUAUGAAUAAGGACCGGCUAAUUCCGUGCCAGCAGCCGCGGUAAUACGGAAGGUUCGGGCGUUAUCCGGUUUUAUUGGGUUUAAAGGGUGCGUAGGUGGUCAUUCAAGUCGGUGGUUAAAGGCUACGGCUCAACCGUAGUUAGGCUCCGAAACUGGAAGACUUGAGUGCAGGAGAGGAAAGUGGAAUUCCCAGUGUAGCGAUGAAAUGCGUAGAUAUGGGGAGGAACACCAGUAGCGAAGGCGGCUUUCUGGACUGCAACUGACACUGCGGCACGAAAGCGUGGGUAGCAAACAGG